GUGAGGAAUAUUGGUCAAUGGGCGAGAGCCUGAACCAGCCAAGUCGCGUGAAGGAUGAAGGUUUUAUGAAUUGUAAACUUCUUUUGCAGGGGAAUAAAGUACGGUACGUGUACCGUUUUGUAUGUACUCUGCGAAUAAGGAUCGGCUAACUCCGUGCCAGCAGCCGCGGUAAUACGGAGGAUCCAAGCGUUAUCCGGAUUUAUUGGGUUUAAAGGGUGCGCAGGCGGGUUGAUAAGUCAGCGGUGAAAGUUUGCAGCUUAACUGUAAAAUUGCCGUUGAAACUGUCGAUCUUGAGUGCAAAUGAGGUAAGCGGAAUGUGUUGUGUAGCGGUGAAAUGCUUAGAUAUAACACAGAACACCGAUUGCGAAGGCAUCUUACUGGGAUGCAACUGACGCUCAUGCACGAAAGCGUGGGGAUCAAACAGGAUUAGAAACCCCGGUAGUCC
This 445-nucleotide ribosomal RNA is filed under the name uncultured bacterium. RNAcentral describes it as "partial 16S ribosomal RNA". It matches the Rfam family "Bacterial small subunit ribosomal RNA", at positions 354 to 796 of the family's 1533-position model. The record is from RNAcentral.